AUGAACGCUAGCUACAGGCUUAACACAUGCAAGUCGAGGGGCAUCAGGAAGAAAGCUUGCUUUCUUUGCUGGCGACCGGCGCACGGGUGAGUAACACGUAUCCAACCUGCCCUUUACUCGGGGAUAGCCUUUCGAAAGAAAGAUUAAUACCCGAUGGCAUAAUGAUUCCGCAUGGUUUCAUUAUUAAAGGAUUCCGGUAAAGGAUGGGGAUGCGUUCCAUUAGGUUGUUGGUGAGGUAACGGCUCACCAAGCCUUCGAUGGAUAGGGGUUCUGAGAGGAAGGUCCCCCACAUUGGAACUGAGACACGGUCCAAACUCCUACGGGAGGCAGCAGUGAGGAAUAUUGGUCAAUGGGCGCUAGCCUGAACCAGCCAAGUAGCGUGAAGGAUGAAGGCUCUAUGGGUCGUAAACUUCUUUUAUAUAAGAAUAAAGUGCAGUAUGUAUACUGUUUUGUAUGUAUUAUAUGAAUAAGGAUCGGCUAACUCCGUGCCAGCAGCCGCGGUAAUACGGAGGAUCCGAGCGUUAUCCGGAUUUAUUGGGUUUAAAGGGAGCGUAGGUGGACUGGUAAGUCAGUUGUGAAAGUUUGCGGCUCAACCGUAAAAUUGCAGUUGAUACUGUCAGUCUUGAGUACAGUAGAGGUGGGCGGAAUUCGUGGUGUAGCGGUGAAAUGCUUAGAUAUCACGAAGAACUCCGAUUGCGAAGGCAGCUCACUGGACUGCAACUGACACUGAUGCUCGAAAGUGUGGGUAUCAAACAGGAUUAGAUACCCUGGUAGUCCACACAGUAAACGAUGAAUACUCGCUGUUUGCGAUAUACAGUAAGCGGCCAAGCGAAAGCGUUAAGUAUUCCACCUGGGGAGUACGCCGGCAACGGUGAAACUCAAAGGAAUUGACGGGGGCCCGCACAAGCGGAGGAACAUGUGGUUUAAUUCGAUGAUACGCGAGGAACCUUACCCGGGCUUAAAUUGCAGUGGAAUGAUGUGGAAACAUGUCAGUGAGCAAUCACCGCUGUGAAGGUGCUGCAUGGUUGUCGUCAGCUCGUGCCGUGAGGUGUCGGCUUAAGUGCCAUAACGAGCGCAACCCUUAUCUUUAGUUACUAACAGGUUAUGCUGAGGACUCUAGAGAGACUGCCGUCGUAAGAUGUGAGGAAGGUGGGGAUGACGUCAAAUCAGCACGGCCCUUACGUCCGGGGCUACACACGUGUUACAAUGGGGGGUACAGAAGGCAGCUAGCGGGUGACCGUAUGCUAAUCCCAAAAGCCUCUCUCAGUUCGGAUCGAAGUCUGCAACCCGACUUCGUGAAGCUGGAUUCGCUAGUAAUCGCGCAUCAGCCACGGCGCGGUGAAUACGUUCCCGGGCCUUGUACACACCGCCCGUCAAGCCAUGGGAGCCGGGGGUACAUGAAGUACGUAACCGCAAGGA
Molecule: ribosomal RNA, 1419 nt
Filed under: uncultured organism
Description: 16S ribosomal RNA
Rfam family: Bacterial small subunit ribosomal RNA
Source: RNAcentral